UACGUAGGGCGCAAGCGUUGUCCGGAAUUAUUGGGCGUAAAGAGCUCGUAGGCGGUUUGUCGCGUCUGUCGUGAAAGCUUGGGGCUUAACCCCAAGUCUGCGGUGGAUACGGGCAGACUAGAGGCAGGUAGGGGAGAACGGAAUUCCCGGUGUAGCGGUGAGAUGCGCAGAUAUCGGGAGGAACACCGGUGGCGAAGGCGGUUCUCUGGGCCUGUACUGACGCUGAGGAGCGAAAGCGUGGGGAGCGAACAGG
Molecule: ribosomal RNA, 253 nt
Filed under: uncultured bacterium
Lineage: Bacteria
Description: partial 16S ribosomal RNA
Rfam family: Bacterial small subunit ribosomal RNA
Source: RNAcentral